Molecule: ribosomal RNA, 120 nt
Filed under: Thinopyrum intermedium
Lineage: Eukaryota; Viridiplantae; Streptophyta; Magnoliopsida; Poales; Poaceae
Source: RNAcentral
GGAUGCGAUCAUACUAGCACUAAAGCACCGGAUCCCAUCAGAACUCCGAAGUUAAGCGUGCUUGGGCGAGAGUAGUACUAGGAUGGGUGACCUCCUGGGAAGUCCUCGUGUUGCAUUCCC